RNAcentral lists this ribosomal RNA (1091 nucleotides) under Salmonella enterica subsp. enterica serovar Kentucky. RNAcentral's name for it is "bacterial SSU rRNA". It matches the Rfam family "Bacterial small subunit ribosomal RNA", at positions 1 to 1083 of the family's 1533-position model. The record is from RNAcentral. Lineage: Bacteria; Pseudomonadati; Pseudomonadota; Gammaproteobacteria; Enterobacterales; Enterobacteriaceae.
AAAUUGAAGAGUUUGAUCAUGGCUCAGAUUGAACGCUGGCGGCAGGCCUAACACAUGCAAGUCGAACGGUAGCACAGAGAGCUUGCUCUCGGGUGACGAGUGGCGGACGGGUGAGUAAUGUCUGGGAAACUGCCCGAUGGAGGGGGAUAACUACUGGAAACGGUAGCUAAUACCGCAUAACGUCGCAAGACCAAAGUGGGGGACCUUCGGGCCUCACACCAUCGGAUGUGCCCAGAUGGGAUUAGCUAGUAGGUGGGGUAACGGCUCACCUAGGCGACGAUCCCUAGCUGGUCUGAGAGGAUGACCAGCCACACUGGAACUGAGACACGGUCCAGACUCCUACGGGAGGCAGCAGUGGGGAAUAUUGCACAAUGGGCGCAAGCCUGAUGCAGCCAUGCCGCGUGUAUGAAGAAGGCCUUCGGGUUGUAAAGUACUUUCAGCGAGGAGGAAGGCGUUGUGGUUAAUAACCACAGCGAUUGACGUUACUCGCAGAAGAAGCACCGGCUAACUCCGUGCCAGCAGCCGCGGUAAUACGGAGGGUGCAAGCGUUAAUCGGAAUUACUGGGCGUAAAGCGCACGCAGGCGGUUUGUUAAGUCAGAUGUGAAAUCCCCGGGCUCAACCUGGGAACUGCAUUUGAAACUGGCAAGCUUGAGUCUCGUAGAGGGGGGUAGAAUUCCAGGUGUAGCGGUGAAAUGCGUAGAGAUCUGGAGGAAUACCGGUGGCGAAGGCGGCCCCCUGGACAAAGACUGACGCUCAGGUGCGAAAGCGUGGGGAGCAAACAGGAUUAGAUACCCUGGUAGUCCACGCCGUAAACGAUGUCUACUUGGAGGUUGUGCCCUUGAGGCGUGGCUUCCGGAGCUAACGCGUUAAGUAGACCGCCUGGGGAGUACGGCCGCAAGGUUAAAACUCAAAUGAAUUGACGGGGGCCCGCACAAGCGGUGGAGCAUGUGGUUUAAUUCGAUGCAACGCGAAGAACCUUACCUGGUCUUGACAUCCACGGAAGUUUUCAGAGAUGAGAAUGUGCCUUCGGGAACCGUGAGACAGGUGCUGCAUGGCUGUCGUCAGCUCGUGUUGUGAAAUGUUGGGUUAA